RNAcentral lists this long non-coding RNA (521 nucleotides) under Chrysemys picta bellii (western painted turtle). RNAcentral's name for it is "lncRNA (ENSCPBG00000024561.1)". Lineage: Eukaryota; Metazoa; Chordata; Testudines; Emydidae. The record is from RNAcentral.
GGAAUUCCUCUCCAGCUUUUACUGAACACACAAAAAGAGUUCAGAUUGAAAUACUCGGAAAUGGAAAGUUAGAUCAACAUUCAUUCUGGAAAGGUUCCCUUGUCCUCCUUUUGUGUUUGCAUAAAGUCUCUUAAUCCAGGUUUUCAUUUAAAGCCCCUUGGUAACCAAAUGCCCUUUUGGGGGAGGGGGUGAAGAGCUGGUUCAAUAUUGAUUUUUAGCUUAGUCAUUUUUGCAGGAUGCAUCCUGCUGUUAAGAUAAACAUAACACAGGAACGAGGAUUGCAGUGAAUGGAAAACCUCUCUCUCUCUCUCUCUCUCUCUGUCUCCCUGAUGCUUGGUCCAGUUGUGUGCUGCGGAUGGGAUACAACACAGACACAGUGCAAAUAACCAGACCCGUGAGUAUGCUGUGAUAACAGGGGACACUUGGGUGCGUAGGAGUUGCUGUAUCGGAGCCAAUCUUUAGACCUAAGCUGGCUCGCCAAAGUAAAUAAAACCGAUUGUCCUAUUUUGCUUGGGGGAGGG